GGACGCGCCCCAGGCGCACCCAGAAACCCUUUGUGAACUUAUACCUUUUGUUGCCUCGGCGCAUGCUGGCCUCUAGUAGGCCCCUCACCCCGGUGAGGAGAAGGCACGCCGGCGGCCAAGUUAACUCUUGUUUUUACACUGAAACUCUGAGAAAAAACACAAAUGAAUCAAAACUUUCAACAACGGAUCUCUUGGUUCUGGCAUCGAUGAAGAACGCAGCGAAAUGCGAUAAGUAAUGUGAAUUGCAGAAUUCAGUGAAUCAUCGAAUCUUUGAACGCACAUUGCGCCCUCUGGUAUUCCGGAGGGCAUGCCUGUUCGAGCGUCAUUUCAACCCUCAAGCAUUGCUUGGUGUUGGGGCACUGCUUCUAACGAAGCAGGCCCUGAAAUCUAGUGGCGAGCUCGCCAGGACCCCGAGCGUAGUAGUUAAACCCUCGCUCUGGAAGGCCCUGGCGGUGCCCUGCCGUUAAACCCCCAACUUUUAAAAUUGA
RNAcentral lists this ribosomal RNA (488 nucleotides) under fungal sp. 196c1a. Its description in RNAcentral is "eukaryotic LSU rRNA". The stretch from base 172 to 325 matches the Rfam family "5.8S ribosomal RNA". The record is from RNAcentral. Lineage: Eukaryota; Fungi.